This 92-nucleotide transfer RNA is filed under the name Fibrisoma montanum. Its description in RNAcentral is "Fibrisoma sp. HYT19 tRNA-Met". It matches the Rfam family "tRNA". From Rfam's summary of the family: Transfer RNA (tRNA) molecules are approximately 80 nucleotides in length. Lineage: Bacteria; Pseudomonadati; Bacteroidota; Cytophagia; Cytophagales; Spirosomataceae. The record is from RNAcentral.
AGCGGGGUGGAGCAGUAGGUAGCCGCUUCGGCGGUCCGAUCGUGGGUCUCAUAAGCCCGAGGUCGCCGGUUCGAGUCCGGCCCCCGCUACCA